GACAGAGGGUGCAAACGUUGUUCGGAAUUACUGGGCGUAAAGCGUGUGUAGGUGGUCCGCUAAGUCGGGUGUGAAAGCCCUGGGCUCAACCCAGGAAGUGCACUCGAAACUGGCGGGCUAGAGUAUCGGAGAGGUUGGUGGAAUUCUCGGUGUAGAGGUGAAAUUCGUAGAUAUCGAGAGGAACACCGGUGGCGAAGGCGGCCAACUGGACGAAUACUGACGCUGAGACGCGAAAGCGUGGGGAGCAAACAGG
RNAcentral lists this ribosomal RNA (253 nucleotides) under uncultured bacterium. Its description in RNAcentral is "partial 16S ribosomal RNA". It matches the Rfam family "Bacterial small subunit ribosomal RNA", at positions 524 to 776 of the family's 1533-position model. The record is from RNAcentral.